This 424-nucleotide ribosomal RNA is filed under the name uncultured bacterium. RNAcentral describes it as "bacterial SSU rRNA". It matches the Rfam family "Bacterial small subunit ribosomal RNA", at positions 355 to 772 of the family's 1533-position model. The record is from RNAcentral.
UGGGGAAUUGUUCGCAAUGGGCGCAAGCCUGACGACGCAACGCCGCGUGGAGGAUGAAGGUCUACGGAUUGUAAACUCCUGUUGCCCGGGACGAAAUGUUCAGACCUAACACGUCUGAGUUUGACGGUACCGGGUGAGGCAGCCCCGGCUAACUCUGUGCCAGCAGCCGCGGUAAUACGUAGGCAGCAAGCGUUGUUCGGAAUUACUGGGCGUAAAGAGUGUGUAGGUGGUGUCGUAAGUUUGGUGUGAAAUCUCCCGGCUUAACUGGGAGGGUGCGCCGAAGACUGCGAUGCUGGAGUAUGGGAGAGGAAAGCGGAAUUCCUGGUGUAGCGGUGAAAUGCGUAGAUAUCAGGAGGAACACCUGCGGUGUAGACGGCUUUCUGGACCAUUACUGACACUGAGACACGAAAGCGUGGGUAGCAAA